UGCCCAGAAAAACCAAAUCAACCCUUCAAUCCUUCCAUCGAUCCCACCCUUCCAUAUAACACACCAAUCCUUCCAUCCUUCCCUUCCAUAUAGAACACCAAUCAAAUCAUAUCAAACAUUUUCGUCACAAACAGCUUCCAUAAACAACAGUUUAAUCAAUUAUUUUCGCUCUUUCCAUACACAACAGGAUUAUACUGAGACGCUGCCGCCCUUCCAGAGGAGACGCUGCCGCCGAUGUAAGGGAUCAUCGCGCCGACGUCCCAGAGGAAACGCCGCCGCCGCCGACCUUCGUGGGGAGACGCCGCCGCCGCCGCCUGCGCUAAACCCCAGACGCAUGGUGAUGUAGGCGCGGCCGUCGGGGCAUGGCGGCGCCCGAUGUGGCGCGGGGCGGAGGAGCUAUGAGGGGUGUGGCAGAUCCGCUGGAGUUGUGCACGUGAUCUGGUGAUGGUGGCCUCCGCCUCCGGACCAGAAUCCGCCACCGCGACCUCUCAUCUAUGCGUCGAGCUCCUCUUCCCGUCUCUCUGAUAUCCGUUGGCACGACUGCUGCCAUGGCCACAAGCCCGCAACGAGGACCUCCACCACAGCCGUAGCCAUGUUGAGGUCAGUAUUCUUCUUCUAGCUCCGCGCAUGGGAAGCAGGUUGGUUGUCGGCUUCCUUGAACAAACAGGAACCAUUCCCAUUAGCAGAACAGAGUUUGUUGGCUUCAGCAUUCUGGUUAGUUACCCUAUUUAUGUUUAGGCAAUUCGUUCUCCCAUGUAACCAUUGAUACAAUUUGUCUGUCUUACAACUCAUGCAGGGUGAGUCACCAAGAGGAAAAGAAAACAUCCGAUUCAGAUGCUAACCUAUGUUUAUUGCUGAUUUCACCUACCACCUGUGUUCAGGCAGAGAUGUAGCCUACCUACUCCAAUUUGUUCUUGGAAACCAUGAACGGCCACUGAUGGUGAUGGAAAAAGAAAGAAACAUAAGCAGGUAACUGGACCUUAUCUUCAGGCCUGGACUGUUACAUUUUGUCAUAAUCUGUCUUAUUGGUACCUUCCUCUUUGUUUCACAAUGUCAUAAUCUGUCACCAUUGUUACUCUGAAUCUGACCACAGCCAAACGGUCUCGAUCUUUGCACCAGUCUGUGUGUCCUCUCAAGGGACUGCAAGCACGAGGAGGGUGUCAAGGCCCGGUGCGGCACCAUCAACAACUACACCUCCCAACUCCUCACUUACGAGUACAAACUUAGCACAUCUCUUUUGGUAUAAUGACGCGCUGAACAAGAACAUAACGGUGCGGAAUAGUUCUCAAGAAAAAAAAAUCGUAUGAUAUAUAUGUACGGUAGAUGGUUCGUCAAGUGGUGAACUGCUUUGUAAAUUUCUGAUAUUGUAGUUACUGACGCUGAUUGAUUGAGAGAUUGCAGGGGGGUGUGGUCAGACAAAGUGCAGGAAUAGGAGGAGUGCGCCAAGAAUGAGACGGCGUGCCCUAACAUGUAUGUAUGCUUGUUUUUUUCAGUUUUCCAAAGGAAAAGGAAAAACAUGUUCACUAUUUAUUCAAUUGUGUAUAAUUAGGAGCGCUUAUUCACUCAAAAAAAUAUAGGAGCGUGUAACUGUUUAUUUAUAAUACAAACUAUCAUUUGCCAUUCUAUAUUGCCACAAAAGUUUCUUGAAAAUCAUAAAAAGAGGGCCAGUGAUGCUUAUGGGAAAGAAGGAAAUAAAAACACGUAAUGUGACCUACUCCCUCCAUUUGAAAAAGCUUGUCCCUCAAAUGAAUGUAUCUAGCACUAAUUUGGUGCUAGAUACAUCCAUUUGAGGGACAAAUUUUUUCGGACAGAGGAAGUACCGUUUUGUUCAUAUUCUUUGUAUUCUUUAAAAACUGCCUUUCAGAACUCGAGCGAAUGUGCCUGGAAAUGCAUUUGCCCUGCCCAAAGGACAAAGUCCAGUCCCGGCUGGCGUACUAUGGGAACAACAGGCUGUUUCAUCACAAACCCACAGUAAUAUACUGACUCUUCCUCUUUUUAAUCAGCAGUUUUCUGUUGAGAGAAGUGCAUAUUACACCCCCCAACUCUAGCCCUAGUCUAAUAUACACCCCUCAACUCCAAUACCGUCUAAAAUACACCCCUCAACUCUCAAAACCGGCUAGAAUUCAACCCUCCCCUCCCUGUUGACCGGUUUUGACCCAGUUUGACCGGUUUUGACUGAGUGAACAGUAAAAAUAAAAAUUUUAAAAACAAAAAAAUGUUUUUUUUGACAAAAUUCAAAAAGUUCCAAGUUUUUGCACCGCGUGAACAGUAAAUUCAAAAAAAUCACCUUUUCAGCAUGUUUGGAUACCUGAGUAAAUUUGAGAUGUCCGUAAAUUCGAAAAAAAUUCAAAAUUUUCAGCAUGGUGAACAGUAAUUCGGGAAAAAAAUCCAAAAAAAAUCAGCACGCGCUCAAACAUCAUCCAUGCAAAAAAAGGGUUUUUAAAAAAAUCGAUUUUACUGUUCGCCAAGCUGAAAUUUUGAAAAAAAAAUCGAAUUUACGGACAUCUCGAAUUUAUUCAGGUGUCCAAACAUGCUGAAAAGGUGAUUUUUUUUUUUAAUUUACUGUUCACGCGAUGAAAAAACUUGGAACAUUUUUGAAUUUUUUUCAAAAAAAAUUAUGGUUUUUAAAAUUUUAUUUUUACUGUUCACUCAGUCAAAACCGGUCAAACUGGGUCAAAACCGGUCAACAGGGAGGGGAGGGUUGAAUUAUGGCCAGUUUUGUGAGUUGGGGGGUGUAUAUUAGACGGUAUUGGAGUUGGGGGGUGUAUAUUAGACUAGGGCUAGAGUUGGGGGGUGUAAUAUGCACUUCUCUCUUUUCUGUUCAUCAAAUUUACGAGAAGGAGCCAUUUGCAUUCCUAAUUAUAAUGUGUGUGAGAAGUAAUUGAAGAACAAUACAUCAGCUAAUCUUAGUGAAUUUCAUAAUACAUGACGACAAAUGCAGCAAUUUUUAGAUAACAAGAUGCAUGUUGUUGCAGUACACAAAAUUGAGAACUAAUCCUACCUAAGAGAAGAAAAUUACAAGAUAGCAAGACAUGAACUACUUGAUGUAUAUCUGGACAGUAUUAUAGGAUGGACAAUUCUAAUCCAUUGCUGGACUUUGGACCAAGUGAUAUAGGAUGUCCAAUAAAAAGCUUGACAUCCAAAUAAAAAGCUUGACUGCAAUAAACUUUUGGCUCGGUGGUCUUUUGAGACCUAACUUACAAAUUGUAUAACUUUUGGCUCACUGAACUUGGUCUUUCUUUUUUGCAGCAUGAUGAUUUCAGAAGUACAAUUGAAACAUUCUUCUAUAUGUUACCCUCUGCUAUUAGAAUGUAUUGUUGAAACUGAGCAGCAAAAAAUCAAGUUGAUAAUGCAUUGAUACAUCUUAUUAAGAUUAUCGUGUCUCAUGUGUUAGCUUAUUAGUUAUGAUAGUGGAAAAUGGUUCACUUAUUUAACCAACUAUCACACACCCGUUAUUCUGGUGUGUCCAUAUGCAUUUCUUUUUUCUUUACGCUUGGAACUUUAUACAUGAAAAUUGAUGUUGGCCAGAGUUAGGGUUGUUGUACUAGGCAUAUCUUAUUUCAAUUAGUAUCUAUAGUUUCAGCUCAUUAGCUUGUGAUUUUCUCUAAAAUAAAGUAUGGUAGAUGUAUCAUUCAAAAGAGUAUUGGUCAAGAUCGUACAUUGCACGUGCAAACUUACUAGGCAAAAAAAACACUUAGUCACAUUUGGAACUUUGUAGUGCAAAAAAAUGAUAGUUGGAUAAUUCAUGAUACACGUGUAUUGAUGGCAAAAACAUUUAGCUAUUUAUACCUGAACUUAAUUUUUGGGUUAAUUGUAAAUAUUUGGGGGGGGGGGGGGGGGGGGGGGGGAGCAUGGUUCACCUAUAAAGAGGUAGCGUUUCAGACUCUCGCAUGAUGACAUACUGAAAAGUGUAUACCUUUGUUGCAAGUCAGUUACAUUCCAGGUCUCUUGUAGCGCUUCCGAUAAACAUGAGGAAGGAAUCCCCGCAAAAGAAAAUUGCGGAAGGAUUGCUGCUGUUGUUCAUGGGAAAUUAUCUUGCUUCGACAUACACAGGCACUCGUGCAGCCAUGAAAUUAUCUCUCUGAAAAGAUAGGAAUGUGGAGGCUCAUGGAGGGAGUGCAAUAGGGGACAAGAGAGAUGGCGGGGAGAGGAGGUGCCGCCCGAUGCUGUGGAGGGGAGAGGAGGGUGCAGUGACACCGUCAAGGGAAGGGAGGCCCUAUGGACAAGAGCAGAUGGGCUCCGCCAGUGGCGUGGAGAGGAGGAGUGUUGAUGCUGUGGAGGGGAGAGGAGGUUGCCGUGAAGUUGUCGAGGGAAGGGAGGUGGCAAAGAUAGGAGCGGACAGGCUUCGCCAGUGCCGUGGAGAGGAGGAGCGCCAACGACAUGGAGGGGAGAGGAGGGGCGGCCCAGACUGAUGAAGGGGCAGUGUCUUCUGGUUGAACAAUGCCAAUAUCGCAUAGUGGGCCAUCUCAAUUUCAUAUGACCAAGAGUUGUGAUGUAUUUGAAUAUAUGUUGAUAUGAUGAGGUAAUAAUUGGUCAAUUAUGAAAUAUUUGCUUCUCUCUGCCGCAAUAUAAAGUUAUUCUUACUGUAUUACCCUAUGUUCAAUGGAGGAUGUUCGGCCACAAGGCUUCAUCU
Non-coding RNA from Triticum urartu, 4633 nucleotides. Lineage: Eukaryota; Viridiplantae; Streptophyta; Magnoliopsida; Poales; Poaceae. The record is from RefSeq and is a predicted model, not a curated record.